This 626-nucleotide ribosomal RNA is filed under the name uncultured bacterium. RNAcentral's name for it is "bacterial SSU rRNA". It matches the Rfam family "Bacterial small subunit ribosomal RNA", at positions 56 to 727 of the family's 1533-position model. The record is from RNAcentral.
UGCAGUCGAGCGCAGUCCUUCGGGACCGAGCGGCGGACGGGUUAGUAACGCGUGGGAAUAUACCCAGAUCUAAGGAAUAGCCUCGGGAAACUGAGAGUAAUACCUUAUACGCCCUUCGGGGGAAAGAUUUAUCGGAUUUGGAUUAGCCCGCGUUAGAUUAGAUAGUUGGUGGGGUAAUGGCCUACCAAGUCUACGAUCUAUAGCUGGUUUUAGAGGAUGAUCAGCAACACUGGGACUGAGACACGGCCCAGACUCCUACGGGAGGCAGCAGUGGGGAAUCUUGGACAAUGGGCGCAAGCCUGAUCCAGCCAUGCCGCGUGAGUGAUGAAGGCCUUAGGGUCGUAAAGCUCUUUCGCCAGAGAUGAUAAUGACAGUAUCUGGUAAAGAAACCCCGGCUAACUCCGUGCCAGCAGCCGCGGUAAUACGGAGGGGGUUAGCGUUGUUCGGAAUUACUGGGCGUAAAGCGCACGUAGGCGGAUCAGAAAGUAUAGGGUGAAAUCCCAGGGCUCAACCCUGGAACUGCCUUGUAAACUCCUGGUCUUGAGUUCGAGAGAGGUGAGUGGAAUUCCGAGUGUAGAGGUGAAAUUCGUAGAUAUUCGGAGGAACACCAGUGGCGAAGGCGGCUC